This 91-nucleotide transfer RNA is filed under the name Acidobacteriota bacterium. Its description in RNAcentral is "Acidobacteria bacterium (activated sludge metagenome) tRNA-Ser". It matches the Rfam family "tRNA". Rfam says of the family: Transfer RNA (tRNA) molecules are approximately 80 nucleotides in length. Their secondary structure includes four short double-helical elements and three loops (D, anti-codon, and T loops). The record is from RNAcentral. Lineage: Bacteria; Pseudomonadati; Acidobacteriota.
GGAGAGGUGCCGGAGUGGCCGAACGGGGCUGCCUGCUAAGCAGUUGCACCCAUUACGGGUGCCCAGGGUUCGAAUCCCUGCCUCUCCGCCA